RNAcentral lists this ribosomal RNA (716 nucleotides) under uncultured Pseudomonas sp. Its description in RNAcentral is "bacterial SSU rRNA". It matches the Rfam family "Bacterial small subunit ribosomal RNA", at positions 96 to 807 of the family's 1533-position model. The record is from RNAcentral. Lineage: Bacteria; Pseudomonadati; Pseudomonadota; Gammaproteobacteria; Pseudomonadales; Pseudomonadaceae.
UGGCGGACGGGUGAGUAAUGCUUAGGAAUCUGCCUAUUAGUGGGGGACAACAUUCCGAAAGGAAUGCUAAUACCGCAUACGUCCUACGGGGGAAAGCAGGGGAUCUUCGGACCUUGCGCUAAUAGAUGAGCCUAAGUCGGAUUAGCUAGUUGGUGGGGUAAAGGCCUACCAAGGCGACGAUCUGUAGCGGGUCUGAGAGGAUGAUCCGCCACACUGGGACUGAGACACGGCCCAGACUCCUACGGGAGGCAGCAGUGGGGAAUAUUGGACAAUGGGGGGAACCCUGAUCCAGCCAUGCCGCGUGUGUGAAGAAGGCCUUUUGGUUGUAAAGCACUUUAAGCGAGGAGGAGGCUCCUUUAGUUAAUACCUAAAGAGAGUGGACGUUACUCGCAGAAUAAGCACCGGCUAACUCUGUGCCAGCAGCCGCGGUAAUACAGAGGGUGCGAGCGUUAAUCGGAUUUACUGGGCGUAAAGCGUGCGUAGGCGGCUUUUUAAGUCGGAUGUGAAAUCCCUGAGCUUAACUUAGGAAUUGCAUUCGAUACUGGAAAGCUAGAGUAUGGGAGAGGAUGGUAGAAUUCCAGGUGUAGCGGUGAAAUGCGUAGAGAUCUGGAGGAAUACCGAUGGCGAAGGCAGCCAUCUGGCCUAAUACUGACGCUGAGGUACGAAAGCAUGGGGAGCAAACAGGAUUAGAUACCCUGGUAGUCCAUGCCGUAAAC